AGGAAACCCUGUCUAAAGAUCUGCCCCUUAAGCUCUAGUAAGUACAAUUCAUCACGUCUCUUCCCUGUCUAUGGCGGUAGGGUUUUCAUGCAUUGAAGUGUGGCCGCUUGGAAAAGCUUUAAAACACUCGCCGGAAAGACACAGUGGCACAGCACAAUUCAUUUGCGCAUCCUCGCAAAAUAUGUGGCGACACAGUAACUAUUUGCGGGUCACUGGGUUACCGUUAUGUAGUCUACAUCCUCGACGUUCCACUUCCAGGAUUUCUCCGGU
Molecule: long non-coding RNA, 270 nt
Organism: Sander lucioperca (pikeperch)
Lineage: Eukaryota; Metazoa; Chordata; Actinopteri; Perciformes; Percidae
Exons: 2
Source: RefSeq, a predicted model, not a curated record